Molecule: non-coding RNA, 106 nt
Organism: Agrilus planipennis (emerald ash borer)
Lineage: Eukaryota; Metazoa; Arthropoda; Insecta; Coleoptera; Buprestidae
Source: Rfam
AGGUAGAGGAGUUUUAGUCGGUAGGUUCGAGGACAUCUUCCUCGGGAAUCCGACACUACCCAGUCGUACGGAUAAGUGGGUGUCUUUUGAAGAUUUUCCUUCUUCC